GGCCGGUUGCACCAACAGGGCUUUAGUAAGCCUGGUCCUAACUGCUAAGUAGGUCUUAGUUAAGACCAGUCUUUAGAGUUGAUCUAACGUCGGUUGCACCAACCAAACUUAAGCCUAGGCGUAACUACGCCCGGUCUUAGCGUUGCGCGUUCAUGUGUUGUUUACCAGCAGCGUGCGUUGCUAGGUUACGCUGUAAACUAUCUUCCGCUGUUUCGUUGUAACGUUAGCCAUAUCGAUGGAGGAGCAAAGAAAAAGAAAAGGAAACUUCACCGACACUGAGAUACGAAAGUUAAUAGAGCUGUACAGUCAGCACAAACACACACUGACUUCCAAGCAAUCAAACACAAUUACAAACCAGAAAAAACAAACAACAUGGAGACAGAUAACAGAGGCGAUUAACGAUUGCUCUGACUCCGGCUGCCUUAGGACAGAGAGCGAUGUAAGAAAAAAGUGGAAAGACCUCCUGAGCAAAGCAAAAAAAGAUUUAUCUGCAAAAAAAACACCACCCGACCGGCGGGGGUCCUCCCCCAAAAACUUCCCUGUACAGUACCAUAAUUGUGGAUAUCUUUGGAGAGGAUUCACCGGCUUUUAUUGGUUUGGUCGGUGCGGAAAGUGGCGGUUCUGACAUGCAAGAAACCCUUGUCUCCCCAGAGAUGGCUGUCGAUCACUCAAUCGAGAGUGUGAAUUGUGAAGACUCGAUGGAGGACCCAGUCACUCCACAAAGUUCUCACGAACACAGCAGCGGUGCACCACCGGUGAAACGGAUGAGGAGGCUGGAUAAUCUGCAGCAGACACUUCUUGAGAAGGAAAUUGUGAGAGUGGAGACUGAAACAAAAAAACUACAGACCGAGCAGGAAAAGUUAGAACUUGAAAAACAAAAAAUAUUGUUAGAAAUACAGUUGCUCCAACAACAGAUAAACAGUUCAUCUUCGCCUAUUUCUGAAGAUGAUGGGCGGUCUUUUGUAUUUCUGUAAAUAAGCCUUAUGGCAAAUUGUGUACAAUGAAUCAAUGACAAUUAUAUGUAAAUAAAAUAAGUUUAUUAUAGACCUA
Molecule: non-coding RNA, 1050 nt
Organism: Misgurnus anguillicaudatus (oriental weatherfish)
Lineage: Eukaryota; Metazoa; Chordata; Actinopteri; Cypriniformes; Cobitidae
Source: RefSeq, a predicted model, not a curated record